This 386-nucleotide ribosomal RNA is filed under the name uncultured bacterium. Its description in RNAcentral is "bacterial SSU rRNA". It matches the Rfam family "Bacterial small subunit ribosomal RNA", at positions 29 to 417 of the family's 1533-position model. The record is from RNAcentral.
AUUGAACGCUGGCGGAAUGCUUUACACAUGCAAGUCGGGCGGCAGCGCGGGGGCAACCCUGGCGGCGAGCGGCGAACGGGUGAGUAAUACAUCGGAACGUGUCCUUGAGUGGGGGAUAGCUCGGCGAAAGCCGGAUUAAUACCGCAUAAGCUCUGAGGAGGAAAGCGGGGGACUGGUAACGGCCUCGCGCUGUUGGAGCGGCCGAUGUCGGAUUAGCUAGUUGGUGGGGAAAGCCCACCAAGGCGACGAUCCGUAGCUGGUCUGAGAGGAUGAUCAGCCACACUGGAACUGAGACACGGUCCAGACUCCUACGGGAGCAGCAGUGGGGAAUUUUGGACAAUGGGGGCAACCCUGAUCCAGCCAUUCCGCGUGAGUGAAGAAGGCCU